RNAcentral lists this long non-coding RNA (2472 nucleotides) under Chrysolophus pictus (golden pheasant). RNAcentral describes it as "lncRNA (ENSCPIG00010012346.1)". The record is from RNAcentral. Lineage: Eukaryota; Metazoa; Chordata; Aves; Galliformes; Phasianidae.
GCGAGGUCACCAGGCAACGGCACCGCGGGGGAGGAGCAGCGGGAGCGCGGAAUGCACCGAUCUGAUGCACCGACCUGCACCAGGGAGCGGGGCACGGCGGUGGGGUGGUCACGAGGAUGGGGUGGGCACGAGGAGGUGGUGCGGGGCACGAGGAGGUGGUGGGCACGAGGAUGGGGUGGGCACGAGGAAAUGGCACAGGGCACGAGGAGGUGGCAGGCAGGAGAGCAUGCCACGAGGCACAAGGAGGUGGUGGGCACGAGGAUGGGGUGGGCACAAGGAUGGGGCGGGCACAACGAAAUGGUGCAGGGCACGAGGAGGUGGCGGGCACCGUGGGGCACCAGAAGGGAAUGCUGUGGGGCACGAGGAUGAGUGUGCACUAGGAAAUGCCACAGUCAUGAGGAUGUGGUGCAUACAAGGAGCUGCCACGGGGCACAAGGAGGUGCAGGGCACGAGGAUGCACCACGGGGCACAAACACGUGCCAUGGAGCACAGGGAUGUGGCAAUCACAUGGAAUUGCUGUGGGGCACGAGGAUGAGCGUGCACGAGGAAAUGCCACGGGCAUGAAGACGCGGUGGAUACAAGGAGCUGGCACGAGGAAAUGGCGCAGGGCACGAGGAGGUGGCGGGCACCAUGGGGCACGAGAGCAUGCCGUGAGGCACGAGGAGGUGGUGGGCACAAGGGUGGGCUGGGCACGAGGAAAUGGCGCAGGGCACGAGGAAAAGGCACAGGGCACGAGGAGGUGGUGGGCACGAGGAAAUGGUGCAGGGCACGAGGAAAAGGCGCAGGGCACGAGGAGCAGGCGGGCACCAUGGGGCACGAGAGCAUGCUGUGGGGCACGAGGAGGUGGCAACCAGAAGGGAAUGCUGUGGGGCACGAGGAUGAGCGUGCACGAGGACAUGCAUGCCAUGGGGCACGAAGAUGCGGUGGAUACAAGGAGCUGCCGCGGGGCACCACGACGCUGCGGGGCACGAGGAGCUGGCGGGCACAAGGAAAUGCACGGGGCACGAGGAGGUGGAGGGCACAAGGAAAUGCACAGGGCACAAGGAGCUGGUGGGCACAAGGAAAUGCACGGGGCACGAGGAUGCACUGCGGGCACGAGGAUAUGCCACGAUGCCACGGAGCGCAGGGAUGUGUCAACCACAAGGAAUGCUGCAGGGCACGAGGACGCACCACGGGGCACGAGGACAGCGGCUCGGCAAGGGGACGUGGCACAGCGCGGGGACGGCGUGGGCGGGGGGGCACGAGGACACGGUGAGCACGAGGACGUGGCACGGGGACAAACCGCGGGCACGGGAACACAGCGUGGCACACGGCCACGGCGCGGCACGAGGAGAUGGGGAUGCGGCGCGGCACGACGGCACGGCGCGGCACGGAGCGGGGCCUGGGGUGGCACGGGGACGGGGCAGCACAGCCACAUGGAGGGGGCGCAGCCGUGGGGCACGGGGACACGGCGUGGCACGAGGACAUGGUGAGGCACGAGGACAUGGUGUGGCACGAGGACAUGGUGAGGCAUGGGGACAGGAUGUGGCACGAGGACAUGGCAUGGCACAAGCACAUGGUGUGGCAUGAGGAGAUGGUGAGGCACGAGGACACGGCGAGGCACAAGGAAAUGGUAAAACACGAGGACACGGCACGACAUGAGGACAUGGCACGACAUGAGGACAUGGCGUGACAUGAGGACAUGGCGUGACAUGAGGACACGGCACGACAUGAGGACAUGGCACGACAUGAGGACACGGCGCGACAUGAGGACACGACACGACAUGAGGACACGGCACGACACGAGGACAUGGCACGACAUGAGGACAUGGCACGACACGAGGACAUGGCACGACAUGAGGACAUGGCACGACACGAGGACAUGGCACGACAUGAGGACAUGGCACGACACGAGGACAUGGCACGACAUGAGGACAUGGCACGACACGAGGACAUGGCACGACACGAGGACACGGCACGACAUGAGGACAUGGCACAACAUGAGGACACGGCACAACAUGAGGACGCUGCCUGUUCUCCACGCACCGCACUCCACACCUCAGGGAAGCUGAGGCAGGAAUGGCUCACAUCGUAUUGCGUCGUAUCGUGUCGUGCUGUGACAUACCAUGUCACGACAGUUGUGUCAUAUCACGUCAUAUCACGCCAUAUCGUGUCAUAUCGUGUCGUGUUGCGCAAACCAUGUCAUAUUGUGUCGUAUCGUGACAUAUCGUGCCAUAUCAUGUCAUACCAUAUUGUAUCACGUCAUACUGUGUCAUAUCGCGUCACAUUAUCUUACAUCGCGUCAUAUCAGUUCACACCAUGCCGUGUUGUGACAUACCAUGUCACGACACAUUGUGUCACAUCACGUCAUAUCACACCAUAUCAGUCAUAUCGUGUCACAUCUUGUCAUAUCACGUCAUUCUACGUCAUACCGUGACAUAUCGUGUCGUAUUGUGCUCUAUCAUGUCAUGUUCUGUUGUGACAUACCAUGUC